UACAGAGGUCUCGAGCGUUAGGCGGAAUCACUGGGCUUAAAGCGUGUGUAGGCGGGUCGUUAAGUACCUUGUGAAAUCCCAUGGCUCAACCAUGGAACUGCUUGGUAUACUGGCGAUCUUGCGCAACCUAGGGGCGAGCGGAACAGAUGGUGGAGCGGUGAAAUGCGCAGAUAUCGGGAAGAACACCUAUGGCGAAGGCAGCUCUCUGGGACGGUACUGACGCUGAGACGCGAAAGCGUGGGGAGCGAACAGG
This 253-nucleotide ribosomal RNA is filed under the name uncultured bacterium. Its description in RNAcentral is "partial 16S ribosomal RNA". It matches the Rfam family "Bacterial small subunit ribosomal RNA", at positions 524 to 776 of the family's 1533-position model. The record is from RNAcentral.